GUGAUCCGAUAUCCUCUCCUGCUUCCAGGCAGGUGGAUUUGUGGCAGGCUGCAAUGAAAGAAGCCCAGCAUCUUUACCCAUAAAUAGCCUGGGAUAGAGGAUCUCAGCCCACUGAAGCAAUGAAAUAGAACUGACUUGGGUGGCACUCAGGAGCUCUGAACUCAACACAGCAGAGACCCAGCAUGACUGAAGUUUCCAACCCCCACUGCAAGCUCCAUUGAUACUGAAAUACAGCAGAGAUUUAACUGCAAAGAGAAUUUAGAUGAGUGUUUAUUGAAAUAACAAAAGCACCAGCAAAGUUUUUUUCAUUCUGAUCAGACCAAGCACAUGAGAAAAAGUCAAUUACAUCAUCUGGUCGCAUCAGUAGAUCAUAUAGAUUGAAAAGAAGAAGCUCAAGAUCUUUUGCAAGGAACUAGAAUAAUAAUGGGUGCAGAAAGUCCUAAGCAAGUUCAAGUCUCCAAGAAAAGUGUUUUUUGGCCUGCAGCAACCUGAAUGAUAACCAACUAAUACAGCAAUUUAUCACUCUCCUGGUAAGUUCUGCAGAAGAGAAAUGUGACAGAGAGAACCUCUCAUCUUUCUCCAGAGCCAGAAAAUUUGGGAAAGAGGGAGCAUAAGGCAAUAUCCAUCGAGGUGCACCAGCAGCAGAAUCUGGGAAACUGAGGGGAAAGUUGGACAAAGCAUAAAAGUCAAACUGAAAACUCAGCAAGCAAGAUGAUAAAAGGGAAAAAUAGACCCCACCCACCCCAUGGCUGAUACAGAACUGGCAGUGGAAGCUGUUGAAGUUUUGGCUGGCUCUCUGGUGGAAAGGCUGUGUCCUCUCCACCCUGUAUUCACUGAAAAAGCCUCUGGCAUUUGCUGGAAUGUCCUUUGUAUAAUAGAGUUGUCUCUGGCCUGGUUGUCUCUGCAGAAGGAAGUUUCUUCUUAAAAAGAAAAAACACAAAGCCAAGAAACAACAAAGCCAACAACUAAACCCCACAAUAACAGGAUUUAGAAACAAAACCAAAUAAGUUUACAAUAGCAGACUGGCUGUUAACCUUUUCUAUACACAGAUUGUUGUCAUUUAUUUUUGAAAUGGGACACUAAGCUCUGGAUUUACUCAUCAAUGCUCUGAGAAAUUUCCUGUCCUUUUAUUACAGGACAGGAGAUCCCACAACUCUGUGAUCUUUUCUUUCACUUUCUGCCUUAGUUUGAAAGACAAUUUUUUUUUGCCUAGUCCCUCUGCAUUACAUUUCUUGGCUUUUUACAGAAGUACUACUUCUGUGCUCCAAACUCUUCUCGCAUAAUAUAAUUAAAUCCAUAUGUCCAUUUCAUACAACUGAACAUGAAUCUCUGGCAGAAGUUCUCUUGAAAUCUGACUACCACUUUGGCAUUUUUCAUCCCAUGCUGUUUUUUAUAAGAUUUUUACCCAUGCAGCUCUAAUGUUUGGAAAUUGGAAAUUAAAGCACCUUUUUUGCUACUGUAUAUUUUAAAUAAUCUUUUUUAAGAUUUGGUUCCCAGUUUUUGCAUUCAAAGCAGAGUGACCUAAAAAUUAGCUGAUUGGUUUUCCGAAUCCUUCCUCUUUUUCAAAGACCAGUUAAAAUUUGAAGAAAUUUCUUUAGAAAGAUAUUGAAACUUCAGCAUUUUGCUUAAUGUUCCUCUGUCCUAAUCCAAUUUCUUUGAAAGACAGGUUGGAUCUGCAGCUUGCACUUGUUUGCAGAUGUUGGUCUGACUCGUUUGCUUGACAGCUGAAGAAGUGGAAGCAGUGGGCUGUGGGUUGAGUUUUUCCACCACAUUUCAGAGCAACUCAUCUUCUGGAUCAGAAGUAGCUGUGCCAGUUUUCUGCACUUGAUUUGGACAGCAAAAGUCACAACAGUAUUCAAGCUUCUGCAACAGUUAAAGUCUUUUCAGUUUCCUCAUCUGAAUGCUGCCAUUUUGGUUUGUAUGCCUGUGAAAUGAAGCUCUGUUUUUAUGAGUCCUGGUUCUGUGACCAAACUCUGUAAACGGGAAAGAUUAAACACUAAAAGACAUGUAUGUGCACAAUGUGCUUCUACAGCACUGAGCCCCCCACCCCCCCCAAAAAAAAAAAAAAAAAUUAAGCUGUAAAAGCUGUCUGAGCUGCCAAAAGGAGUUGUGAGGAAGUAUGAGUGUUUCCAAAGAUAUUUGGAGACAAUAUGUGUUUAUAUAGGAAAUUUAUUUCAAACAAAGGCAAUUUAUCUUGUCUAAAAUUCCACAUGGUUGGUAAUGUAAUUGAAUUAGAAAAACAAGAACCUGAUGCUCAAAAAUUCUUACAUGUUUAAAACCAACACUAGACACUUCCUAUUUUAGAACAAGAUUUAAUUGCUUUCUGUAAAAUGCACUGGCAGGACAACCAUUUUCUCACUGGCAGGUAACAGCAGUUCCAAAAAAUGUGCUUUCUCCAAUGUAGCUGUAGGAAGUGUUGCUGCCUAGAAACUAGCACGGUCAUUAAUCAAAACAAAAAGAACAAACUGUUACAUAAAGCAGUAAUUUUACUAGGCAAGUACUUUGAGUCUGCUUAAAAUGGAUGAUCAGAACAUAUUACCCAGUUCCUGGUUUAUUGUCUCCAUAAAAACUUGGAAGAAUGCAUGUCUACUCCAGUAAUUUAUUUUUUCCAGGCUCAAAUAUUCUGCAAGUGGUUGCUGGGGGAGGGUGUUUGGUGGAUUUGUUUGUUUAUUUGUUGGAUGGUUGGUUGGUUGGUUGAUUGUUUUGUUGGGUUUUUUAAUCUUUCUAGUUCUUGCAAAUUUUUUUAGUUUAUUGGUAAAAGUUGUCUCCUUGCUGUGGGGGUUCAAGCACUCAAUUUGUCCUCCCUGGUUGCACUGCAGCUGAAAAUGAGUGAACAGCAGUCAGAAGCUGCCCUGGGGGGGUUGUUAUCAAUAGGUAACAUGGAAAUGUUUAGGAUAUUCUGAAGUAGUCUGAGCAUAAGUAACAGGAUGAAAGCAGAAGGAAAUUUAUGCUGAUCCUUAGGGGAAAACACUCUUCGUAUUGCAUCCUGUUAAAUUAUAUAAAAGGUCACUGGGGAACGGGUGGGUGCUUGCAGCCACUGUAGAAUGAAAUUUGAGGUUCACUUGCAGGAAGCUGCUCUGUCAGGAGGAGGAGCUCUUCUGAUCUGAGAUUGGUCUCCCCAGUUAUUCAAAUGUUCUGAGCCCAUGGGCCCUGCUGAGCACUGACAGCUUCCCCAGUCUGUGUCCUGGUGCCUGGGGUGUCUCUUCUCAAGUCAGCACUGGCAGUCCCUGUCCUCUGCUGACAGUACCAAUCAUCUGGAAAAUAUUAAUUGAGGCAUUUCAGAGACCAAGGCAAUAUUGCAUUGUCUCAGCAGGUAUAAAAAUUAUUCAGAUCUAUCUUAAGCAGAGGCCUGUAAUUGGAGCUCGAGCAGCCAAUUUUCUCCUAACUUAGAGAAAGUGGGUAACAAGAAAUAAUUUAUUUAGGGACUUGAAUUUUAAUAAGAAGUUAUUUGGUUAGAAAUAAUUUAACUAUUUAUUUUAGGGGUUUUAUUCCCUUUCAGAGAGGCUGUACAAAAAAAAAAAAAAAAAAAGAGUAAUAAGAA
Molecule: long non-coding RNA, 3541 nt
Organism: Prinia subflava (tawny-flanked prinia)
Lineage: Eukaryota; Metazoa; Chordata; Aves; Passeriformes; Cisticolidae
Exons: 2
Source: RefSeq, a predicted model, not a curated record